UACGUAGGGGGCAAGCGUUGUCCGGAUUUAUUGGGCGUAAAGAGCGUGUAGGCGGCCAGGCAGGUCCGUUGUGAAAACUCGAGGCUCAACCUCGAGACGUCGAUGGAAACCGUCUGGCUAGAGUCCGGAAGAGGAGAGUGGAAUUCCUGGUGUAACGGUGAAAUGCGCAGAUAUCAGGAAGAACACCUAUGGCGAAGGCAGCUCUCUGGGACGGUACUGACGCUGAGACGCGAAAGCGUGGGGAGCAAACAGG
Molecule: ribosomal RNA, 253 nt
Filed under: uncultured bacterium
Lineage: Bacteria
Description: partial 16S ribosomal RNA
Rfam family: Bacterial small subunit ribosomal RNA
Source: RNAcentral